AGCGGUAACAGAGGAGAAGCUUGCUUCUCUGCUGACGAGCGGCGGACGGGUGAGUAAUGCCUAGGAAUCUGCCUAGUAGUGGGGGAUAACUUGCCGAAAGGUAAGCUAAUACCGCAUACGUCCUACGGGAGAAAGGAGGGGACCUUCGGGCCUUUCGCUAUUAGAUGAGCCUAGGUCGGAUUAGUUAGUUGGUGAGGUAAUGGCUCACCAAGACCGCGAUCCGUAACUGGUCUGAGAGGAUGAUCAGUCACACUGGAACUGAGACACGGUCCAGACUCCUACGGGAGGCAGCAGUGGGGAAUAUUGGACAAUGGGGGGAACCCUGAUCCAGCCAUGCCGCGUGUGUGAAGAAGGUCUUAGGAUUGUAAAGCACUUUAAGUUGGGAGGAAGAGCAGUUAACUAAUAUUUGACUGUUUUGACGUUACCGACAGAAUAAGCACCGGCUAACUUCGUGCCAGCAGCCGCGGUAAUACGAAGGGUGCAAGCGUUAAUCGGAAUUACUGGGCGUAAAGCGCGCGUAGGUGGUUCAGUAAGUUAGGAGUGAAAGCCCCGGGCUUAACCUGGGAAUUGCUUCUAAAACUGCUGAGCUAGAGUACGGUAGAGGGUG
RNAcentral lists this ribosomal RNA (607 nucleotides) under bacterium 14BL. RNAcentral describes it as "bacterial SSU rRNA". It matches the Rfam family "Bacterial small subunit ribosomal RNA", at positions 65 to 660 of the family's 1533-position model. The record is from RNAcentral.